Molecule: ribosomal RNA, 1098 nt
Filed under: uncultured organism
Description: bacterial SSU rRNA
Rfam family: Bacterial small subunit ribosomal RNA
Source: RNAcentral
UCGAGGGGCAGCAUCAGUGCUUGCACUGGAUGGCGACCGGCGCACGGGUGAGUAACGCGUAUGCAACCUGCCUGUACCUGGAGGAUAGCCCUUGGAAACGAGGAUAACACUGCGUAACAUAUAUUUACCGCAUGGUAUAUAUAUCAAAACCACGGUGGGUACAGAUGGGCAUGCGUACCAUUAGCUAGAUGGUAACGUAACGGCUUACCAUGGCUUCGAUGGCUAGGGGUUCUGCAAGGAAGGCCCCGCACACUGGUACUGAGACACGGACCAGACUCCUACGGGAGGCAGCAGUGAGGAAUAUCGGUCAAUGGGGGAAACCCUGAACCAGCCAAGCCGCGUGAAGGAAGACUGUCCUAUGGAUUGUAAACUUCUUCUCAGGCAGAAUAGAUAACCGUACUCGUACGGUAUUGCAUGUAUGCCAAGAAUAAGCAUCGGCUAACUCCGUGCCAGCAGCCGCGGUAAUACGGAGGAUGCAGGCGUUAUCCGGAUUUAUUAGGUAUCAAGGGUGUACAGGCUGCCUGGUAAGUCAGUGGUGAAAGUCGGAAGCUCAACUGCCGAAUUGCCUUUGAAAAUGUCAGGCUACGAGUAUGGAUGCGGAAGGCGAGAAUGUGUAGAGUAACGGUGAAAUGCAUAGAUAUUACACAGUACCCCGAUUGCGAAGGCAGCUUGCCAAACCAUUACUGACGCUGGAGCACGAAAGCGUGGGUAGCGUACAGGAUUAGAUACCCUGGUUGUCCACGCCGUAAACUUUGCUCACUCGCUGUUGGCGAUACACAGUCAGCGGCCAAGGGUAACCGAUAAGUGAGCCACCUGGGGAGUUCGACCGCAAGGUUGAUACUCAAAGGAAUUGACGGGGGCCCGCACAAGCGGUGGAACAUGUGGUUUAAUUCGAUGAUACGCGAGGAACCUUACCUGGGCUUAAAUGUACGAUGCAUUCCGCCGAAAGGCGGAUUUCCUUCGGGACUUUGUACAAGGUGCUGCAUGGUCGUCGUCAGCUCGUGCCGUGAGGUGUCGGGUUAAGUCCCAUAACGAGCGCAACCCCUAUUGUUAGUUACCAGCGCGUGAUGGCGGGGACUCUAGCGAAUCUGCCGGUGU